AUUUAAAUAGCUUAAAAAGAGUAUAAUAUUGAAGAUAUUAAGGUGAUAAUUUAAUCUUUAAAUA
This 64-nucleotide transfer RNA is filed under the name Cameraria ohridella. Its description in RNAcentral is "tRNA-Phe". The record is from RNAcentral. Lineage: Eukaryota; Metazoa; Arthropoda; Insecta; Lepidoptera; Gracillariidae.